UACGUAGGGUGCGAGCGUUAAUCGGAAUUACUGGGCGUAAAGCGUGCGCAGGCGGUUAUGUAAGACAGAUGUGAAAUCCCCGGGCUCAACCUGGGAACUGCAUUUGUGACUGCAUGGCUAGAGUACGGUAGAGGGGGAUGGAAUUCCGCGUGUAGCAGUGAAAUGCGUAGAUAUGCGGGGAACACCGAUGGCGAAGGCAAUCCCUGGACCUGUACUGACGCUCAUGCACGAAAGCGUGGGGAGCAAACAGGAUUAGAGUACCCGCGAUCAGUCC
This 274-nucleotide ribosomal RNA is filed under the name uncultured bacterium. Its description in RNAcentral is "partial 16S ribosomal RNA". It matches the Rfam family "Bacterial small subunit ribosomal RNA", at positions 524 to 796 of the family's 1533-position model. The record is from RNAcentral.